UAUCCGGUAAUUUUAUCUUGAUUUGUGGACUAGACGAAGGCUAGAUUUUGAUGAAGAAAUCGACAAACUUGAACUGCAGGACUCGUGGCGCUGCUCGCCUCCUCGCCAAUGCGAACGCGUUCUCUGAGGACAACCCGCCCAAGGCUACCAUGGCGAAGCCAC
RNAcentral lists this long non-coding RNA (162 nucleotides) under Amphibalanus amphitrite. RNAcentral describes it as "uncharacterized LOC122371427". Lineage: Eukaryota; Metazoa; Arthropoda; Thecostraca; Balanomorpha; Balanidae. The record is from RNAcentral.